Molecule: regulatory RNA element, 23 nt
Organism: HIV-1 CRF04_cpx
Lineage: Riboviria; Pararnavirae; Artverviricota; Revtraviricetes; Ortervirales; Retroviridae
Rfam family: HIV-1 stem-loop 3 Psi packaging signal
Source: Rfam
UGACUAGCGGAGGCUAGAAGGAG